This 1907-nucleotide long non-coding RNA is filed under the name Sus scrofa (pig). RNAcentral's name for it is "lncRNA (ENSSSCG00000049491.2)". Lineage: Eukaryota; Metazoa; Chordata; Mammalia; Artiodactyla; Suidae. The record is from RNAcentral.
UGGGCCUUUGGCUUCCUGUCACACAGCCGUGCGACAAGGGGCAGGUUUCUGAAGGACCAGAGAGAAAAGGGGUCUGUUGUUCUCGGGGGCACAGGCUUGCUGGUGGCAUCCCGCACAGACACUCUCUCCUCACAGCUCCCACCACGGGGACUGGAGGCAGGAGGAGCCGACGGGCCCCUGGAACGGCCGCGGUGCGUCCAGAGGUGGGAGCCGCAAGCCCGAGGAUCGGCCGAGUCCCAGGGGACCCUAACGGAGGCCGGGCUGGAAGGCCAAGGUGGCUGCCACGUGGGAAGGUAUCCUUGACGUCCAGACCCUGGAGAAGGAUCGGGAGCCACCACCCAAAGCAACUGUCCAGGAAAAGUGGUCGCGCUUCAGCCAUCGCGCUGGGCUAGGUCUUCCAAGCGAACCCCCUGUUGGAGCCUCUGCCGUCUAACGUCACCUAAUGUAGCCGAACCUGCCAAGACCCUGGCUACUUCACUGGAACCCAGACCAGGGCGAUCCCCGAGUGUUGCGAGCCCACCUUCCUCUUCCUCGACGGUGGCUCCAGCCCCUUCAUGUCGCCUCCAAGCUCCUGCCCAAGUGUUCCCACCCGCACUGCUGGGAGCAGCUCCUCUGUGUUUUCAGGGCCACUUUGCUGUCGUCCUUUGAAGGUUCUCUUGGCGACUCUAGGAAGACUCCGUGGUACAGGUGACCUUCUGUAUCUGUGGAGGAUCGGUUCCCAGAUACCCCCGCCCACGGAUCCCAAAAUCCCAGGAGCCAAGCCUUGUCUAAAGUGCCGGAGUGCAGCCUGGCCUCCAGAACGCGUGAGAACAGAGCAGCCGUACUCUGUUUCCAACGACCGAUGGCCAAAGCCCCGCUGUGCGUGUUCUCUAUGGACUGAACAGCCAGUGGCCCUGUAGCAGUGAAGCCUCACACCGUCCUCCAGGCUGGAAGGGACCCUUGAGUCACAGAACUUGCCAGUUUGCAAACAUGUCUCUAGUUGUAACAACUUUCAUCUGUCAAAUGAGGGCUCUUCAUUUCUAAGGUUCUAGAAGCCGGCCGUGGUCAUAUAGUCCCUCAGCUGGGUGUACUGAAAUCUGGGCCAGAGGCACAGCUUCCUCGCUAAGACACCCCCCCACCCCAGCACCCUGCACACACACACAGGCAGAGGCCAAGCUGCCUGCCUCCCCGCACCCCCUAGAAUGCUAACCACUGGGGACCGAGGGGUAGUUCCUACCUUUUAUAUCCUUACAUACUGAAUCUGGCGCUGGCUCCUGGGCUGCAUCUUCUUAACUGCAAACACUCUAUACCAUCCCUCUCUGGUUCCACCAGCCACCACCCUCCUUCCGUGUCCUCCUCUGAACGUGCCUGAUAAAGGCUUUUGAGUGACUGAAUGAGUGGACGGCUCCCAUCUUCUGUCAUCUCAAUGAGUGCUGCUCCCCAGCUGACUGGAACCAGACGCCCUAGUUCCCAGGCUGGGUUUCCCUCCAGAUGUGUUCUCCUGCGGUGUCGGUUCCACCGUUAAACAGCUGUAUCGCUCAGCAGGUACGCAACGUUGAUGCGCCUCCAUUUCCUCCUCUGCAGAAUUGUGGGCGUUCCUGUCGUGGCUCAGCAGAAUCCGGCUUGUAUCCACGAGGAUGCGGGUUCUAUCCCUGGCCUCGCUCGGUGAAUCUGGGAUCCAGCCUUGCCGUGAGCUGUGGUGUAGGCCGGAAGCUGUAGCUCCAAUUUGACCCCUAGCCUGGAAACUUCCAUAUGCUGAGGGUUCGGCCUUAAAAACAACAACAACAACAAAAUAGUACUUACGUCAUAGGGUUGCUGUCAGCAUUAAAUGAGAGAGUCUGUUAAAAACGCCGAGAACAUUGCCUGGCAAUAUACAUUGCAGAAUACUCAAUAAAUAUUAGCUGGUGUUAUUUCAUACUUCAUCAAAC